Molecule: ribosomal RNA, 443 nt
Filed under: uncultured bacterium
Lineage: Bacteria
Description: bacterial SSU rRNA
Rfam family: Bacterial small subunit ribosomal RNA
Source: RNAcentral
GAGCGGUAUUGUUUCUUCGGAAACGAGAGAGCGGCGCACGGGUGCGGAACACGUGUGCAACCUGCCUUUAUCUGGGGGAUAGCCUUUCGAAAGGAAGAUUAAUACCCCAUAAUAUUUUGAAUGGCAUCAUUUAAAAUUGAAAACUCCGGUGGAUAGAGAUGGGCACACGCAAGAUUAGAUAGUUGGUAGGGUAACGGCCUACCAAGUCAGUGAUCUUUAGGGGGCCUGAGAGGGUGAUCCCCCACACUGGUACUGAGACACGGACCAGACUCCUACGGGAGGCAGCAGUGAGGAAUAUUGGACAAUGGGUGAGAGCCUGAUCCAGCCAUCCCGCGUGAAGGACGACGGCCCUAUGGGUUGUAAACUUCUUUUGUACAGGGAUAAACCUUUCCACGUGUGGAAAGCUGAAGGUACUGUACGAAUAAGCACCGGCUAACUCCGUG